GACGUAGGGCGCGAGCGUUGUCCGGAUUUAUUGGGCGUAAAGAGCUCGUAGGCGGCUUGUCGCGUCGAAUGUGAAAACCUGCAGCUCAACUGCAGGCUGCAUUCGAUACGGGCAGGCUCGAGUUCGGUAGGGGAGACUGGAAUUCCUGGUGUAGCGGUGAAAUGCGCAGAUAUCAGGAGGAACACCGGUGGCGAAGGCGGAUCUCUGGGCCGAUACUGACGCUGAGGAGCGAAAGCGUGGGGAGCGAACAGG
RNAcentral lists this ribosomal RNA (252 nucleotides) under uncultured bacterium. RNAcentral describes it as "partial 16S ribosomal RNA". It matches the Rfam family "Bacterial small subunit ribosomal RNA", at positions 524 to 776 of the family's 1533-position model. The record is from RNAcentral.